RNAcentral lists this long non-coding RNA (662 nucleotides) under Eucalyptus grandis. Its description in RNAcentral is "long non-coding RNA (EGRA_LNC003202)". The record is from RNAcentral. Lineage: Eukaryota; Viridiplantae; Streptophyta; Magnoliopsida; Myrtales; Myrtaceae.
GAGAACUUACCUCGCCUCAAUUCCUUCCUGCAGGUUAGCACAAUUUGUAUCACACAAUCUCAGGUAGUAAUAAUAAUUCAAACAAUUGGAACGCCAUCACUUUCAUAUAAAUCACGAUCGCACUUUGCACGCAUCCCAAUUAUUAUUCACUGCCACACAAUGGCAUAGCCUACUCGCGGGUCGGCUAUCUACUAACAUUACGGCAUUUCUAGAAGAAUGAAGGUCCAGUCGGUCCCGCCACUACUGCGACCAAGCCACGUCAUUCUAUCGACGGCAUUUCUAGAAGAACAAAGGUCCAGUCGGUCCCGCCACUACUGCGACCAAGCCACGUCAUUCUAUCGACGGCAUUUCUAGAAGAACAAAGGUCCAGUCGGUCCCGCCACUACUGCGACCAAGCCACGUCAUUCUAUCGACAGCAUUUCUAGAAGAACAAAGGUCCAGUCCGUCUCGCCACUACUGCGACCAAGCCACGUCAUUCUAUCGACGGCAUUUCUAGAAGAACAAAGGACGGUCUCGCCACUACUGCGACCAAGCCACGUCAUUCUAUCGACGGCAUUUCUAGAAGAACAAAGGUCCAGUCGAUCUCGCCACUACUGCGACCAAGCCACGUCAUUCUAUCGACGGCAUUUCUAGAAGAACAAAGGUCCAGUCGGUCUCGCCAC